AGUGAACGCUGGCGGUAGGCCUAACACAUGCAAGUCGAACGGCAGCACAGUAAGAGCUUGCUCUUACGGGUGGCGAGUGGCGGACGGGUGAGGAAUACAUCGGAAUCUACUUUUUCGUGGGGGAUAACGUAGGGAAACUUACGCUAAUACCGCAUACGACCUACGGGUGAAAGCAGGGGAUCUUCGGACCUUGCGCGAUCGAAUGAGCCGAUGUCGGAUUAGCUAGUUGGCGGGGUAAAGGCCCACCAAGGCGACGAUCCGUAGCUGGUCUGAGAGGAUGAUCAGCCACACUGGAACUGAGACACGGUCCAGACUCCUACGGGAGGCAGCAGUGGGGAAUAUUGGACAAUGGGCGCAAGCCUGAUCCAGCCAUACCGCGUGGGUGAAGAAGGUCUUCGGGUUGUAAAGCCCUUUUGUUGGGAAAGAAAAGCAGCAGGUUAAUACCCCGCUGUUCUGACGGUACCCAAAGAAUAAGCACCGGCUAACUUCGUG
Molecule: ribosomal RNA, 492 nt
Filed under: uncultured bacterium
Lineage: Bacteria
Description: partial 16S ribosomal RNA
Rfam family: Bacterial small subunit ribosomal RNA
Source: RNAcentral